Long non-coding RNA from Mytilus trossulus (common blue mussel), 1395 nucleotides. RefSeq lists it as uncharacterized. The transcript is spliced from 3 exons. NCBI's taxonomy places the organism in Eukaryota, Metazoa, Mollusca, Bivalvia, Mytilida, Mytilidae. The record is from RefSeq and is a predicted model, not a curated record.
GGAUAACUCGUCAAACAGUAGUAUAAAACGACAUGUUUAUGUAUAAAAUGUCAGAAAAACUACGAUGUCGCCUCAAUAUUACAAUCUCAGGUGAUAUUUGAUUUUUCUUCACAAAAUAGACCGUGUAUAACAGAAUCAAUAUCAUAUGGAUGUUGCACGUCUAUUCGUCCUGUUAUUGAUACUGACCACAGCACUUUGUAACCAUUCCACCAUUACAAGAUGCGCACGGACAAGAACUGGACGACUUGUGUGUAACAGAGUUGCAGUGGCGCAUAGGACAGCCACAGGAACGUCUACAUCAUCAAGGCGUUCACCUACUGGGAUUCAAAAUACGGGUUUUCUUGGUCGUUUUAGUGGUGGUUUCGGACCGAAUGCAAGAGUUGGAUCAGGAUUAUUUGCAAGUGAUAGAUUUGAACAAUCAUCGUUUGGAGGAGGUGGUGGUGGAUCUUCAGCGCCUAGAGGGAAUCUUUUGAAUAAUAAUCUGUUUUUUAGAAGACAAUUUGGUAGAGGACCUUUCCGAAGUAUACCAAACGGCCCACUUGCAAGUUGGUCCAGGUUGCCAUUUGGAUUUAUCUAAGAAGGAUAAGAAGCAAGUAUAAGAGAAGAGCAUUGAUAUCCAGUUUCAUACGAAGCACACAUUAAAGUGGUAUCUACAAAGGAAAGAUAAUACACAAAGACGACGAUAGCUGUAAAGAUCGUUGCAUCAGUGACAAAAGAACCGAAGAGAAACAAUACUUGAAGAGAUUCCGUGCAUGGGGGAGGGCCCUUUUCGACGACAGCUCUUUCCAAUAGCUCCGGACCGAUGCUAUUUAUUAUCUGACACGGAAAACACUUGUUCUCAAUCUGUUUCGUAUUGUUAUCUAUUCAUCUGAUUCCACUGACCCUUCUCUGUUUUCGAUUCUAUAUUACGUUUUUUGUUUAUUUAUUUAUUGUUUGUUUUAAAUUACUUAGAUACUUGUAUGUAUCGUUUGUAUUUUUCCGUUUAGUUUAAUCACAAGAAGAUGAAGGAUAUAAAUCUAUGAAACAGCAACCGAUUUGUGAAUGACAACUAUUUAGAGGUCAACACAAAUCUUCAACAGAUGAAAUGAUUAUUUCUACAUGAAACUUAUUACUUUCCCAAAUUCUACAAAGUAUAACAUAUUUAAGAAUAUCUAAAAUUGUAAUUUAAAUAAACUAACAAUUACAAUAAUUUUGACAACAAUUGCUUUAUUUGAACACAGGCCCCAUUUGAUAAGUAUUCAAAAGGCAUGAAAUAAUUUACAGCUUGAUACUGAUUUAAACCAAUGAAUUUAUCUUGAUAUGAUAACUAUGCCUCCAUUGAGUUCAGGGUUCUGUUUUUUGAAAUAUCAUAGGACUAAACUAUCAAUUAAAAAAAAAACUUUAAACCAUGGCGUU